CCUACGGGUGGCAGCAGUGAGGAAUAUUGGUCAAUGGACGAGAGUCUGAACCAGCCAAGUAGCGUGAAGGAUGACUGCCCUAUGGGUUGUAAACUUCUUUUAUAAAGGAAUAAAACGAGGCACGUGUGCCUUUUUGCAUGGACUUUAUGAAUAAGGAUGGGCUCACACCGUGCCAGCAGCCGCGGUAAGACGGAGGAUCCGUGCGUUAUCCGGAUUUAUUGGGUUUAAAGGGAUCGUAGAUGGGUUGUAAAGUCCGUUGGGAUAUUUUUCGGCUCAACCGUAAAAUUGCAUUUGAUGCUGGCAGUCUUGCGUACAGUUGAGGUAGGCGGAAUUCUUGGUGUAGCGGUGAACUGCUUAGAUAUCACGAAGAACCCCGAUUGCGAAGGCAGCUUACUAAACUGUGACUGACAUUGAUGCUCGAAAGUGUGGGUAUCAAACAGGAUUAGAUACCCUGGUAGUC
This 460-nucleotide ribosomal RNA is filed under the name uncultured bacterium. RNAcentral describes it as "partial 16S ribosomal RNA". It matches the Rfam family "Bacterial small subunit ribosomal RNA", at positions 338 to 795 of the family's 1533-position model. The record is from RNAcentral.